UAUCAUAGUAGAAUAAAUAACCACAUUAGAGUUUUGGGUUUUCAAGAGAUUAAUUUCUAUGUUAAGAAUUUUGUUUGUUUUGACGCAGGAGUGAACAUGGGGAGAGUCGGGGAGACAAAGAGAGAAGAGAGGAAGACUCACUUCAUGUUUGCCUUUUACUAUAUCUUUAUACUUUCAACCAAAUGAAAUUGUUAUUAGAUUUUGUAAGGCUACAUGUUAAUUCUCUAUGUAACUUGCUAUUUUUUCCAAUAUGUUUGUUGCUAAUAAUCUAUUGUAACCACUCUUUUUGCCAUUUUCCAAUAAGUCAUUCUCUCUAAUUUCUAUAUAAUUUUUUUCACAUUUGCACAAGUUCAGUUGUCUUUUUUAUUAUACAAUGUAGUUCAUUGGUUUAUCAUUUAAUAAGUGCAACCGUACGUGCAGCUUUGAAUUUUGACGAUAUAAUUAAUCUUAUAAUUUUAAUUUUGACAUGUGAGUUUAGCUUACUGAUUAACGUUGUUUCAGAAUUCAUGGUGUGUUAAUUUGAUGAAGUUGCUUCUUAUUGUUUUGGUUAUCAUAUACUGGAAUUUGAAAUGUCAAUUGAUUCAAAGUUUGCUCUUUUUUUACAAAAUAAAGAAAGGUUUUUUUUUUUUUUUUUUUUUUUUUGUGGGGUUAGUUGCCCACAAAUUCUCUUUAGGCCAAAGAAUAGAGCUAGAAGAAUUGAGGUUUGCUUUCGUUUGGUUUCCUCUAUUGGGUGCAAACACGUUGCUAAUAUACUUGAAUUUGCUAAUAUACUUGAAUUGAUUUUAAAGAUGGUAUCUUUUCUGGGUUGUUUUACAAAAGAAUUUCCCUUCCUUUUGAUUCAGAUUUUGAUGUCCUUUACUUCAAGCAAGUUAAAAUAAGGAAUUUAACUUUGCAAUACAAUCUUUCAUACAAUUUUCAAUCCGGCAGCAACGUGUGGGUACAAAUUUCUAGUUUCUUCUAUAAGUUAAGUUUCACAGAGUGUGAACUAUAGAACACCGGUUCAGAGCAAUUUUAACUUGGCAUCUAAGUAAUGAUUGUGGAGCCAAAAAUAAUCAAGAAAAUUAUGGAGGCAACGUGUGGACUUUUGGGUGAAAAGACAAAAUUACCCUUGAGGCAUAUCAGGAUUCCCACGCGCAUACAACAGAUAAUAACGGUUCAAUCAAGGUCAAAGGUGAUCAAAAUGGUAUUUAUUCAAUCUCAUCACUCCUCAUCAAAUCCUCACCCACAAGGUAACUCCCAAUUAUUCUUUUCAAAUUGGGAUUAAUUACCAAAAUUAAUUGAUUAAUUACCAAGUUACCAAAUAUCUUGCAAUUAGAGCUAAAAAUCAACCAUAAGUGGCUGGUCCCCAUUUCUCCAAAUAGGGUCGGUCACACCCUAUAUAUAGCCCCACAUUUCUCAAAAAACCUAAGUUCAUUCUCUCCAUAAAAUUCUCUAAACACUUUUUCUCUCAAAUUCUAACUUCGACAUCGGAGAUUCUUUGGCCAAAGCCCCCUCUCAUUCAUCGUGGGCAUGUGAAUCUCUUGGCCUUGAUCUUAGGUGUUAUUAUUUUGCAGGUGCAUUUUCGUCAAAGGAGAAUAAGGCAGAAAUUUGCAUCCACAAAUUGGUGCUUUCAUUGAAAGUCUUGAUUCACACGCUCGAAGAAGACUCUCGCAUUCAAAGUUUCUCAUUUCUUGUUCAUUCAUAGAUUUUUCUUACGUUCUUUUUCCUAG
Molecule: long non-coding RNA, 1709 nt
Filed under: Malus domestica (apple)
Lineage: Eukaryota; Viridiplantae; Streptophyta; Magnoliopsida; Rosales; Rosaceae
Description: long non-coding RNA (MDOM_LNC012185)
Source: RNAcentral